RNAcentral lists this ribosomal RNA (450 nucleotides) under uncultured bacterium. RNAcentral describes it as "bacterial SSU rRNA". It matches the Rfam family "Bacterial small subunit ribosomal RNA", at positions 335 to 776 of the family's 1533-position model. The record is from RNAcentral.
ACUCCUACGGGAGGCAGCAGUGGGGAAUAUUGCACAAUGGGCGCAAGCCUGAUGCAGCCAUGCCGCGUGUGUGAAGAAGGCCUUCGGGUUGUAAAGCACUUUCAGUCGUGAGGAAGGUAGUGUAGUUAAUAGCUGCAUUAUUUGUACGUUAGCGACAGAAGAAGCACCGGCUAACUCCGUGCCAGCAGCCGCGGUAAGUACGGAGGGUGCGAGCGUUAAUCGGAAUUACUGGGCGUAAAGCGCAUGCAGGUGGUUUGUUAAGUCAGAUGUGAAAGCCCGGGGCUCAACCUCGGAAUAGCAUUUGAAACUGGCAGACUAGAGUACUGUAGAGGGGGUAGAAUUUCAGGUGUAGCGGUGAAAUGCGUAGAGAUCGUGAAGGAAUACCGGUGGCGAAGGCGGCCCCUGGACAGAUACUGACACUCAGAUGCGAAAGCGUGGGAGCGAAACAGG